GAUGAACGCUGGCGGCGUGCUUAACACAUGCAAGUCGAACGGGAAACCUUUUAUUGAAGCUUCGGCAGAUUUAGCUGGUUUCUAGUGGCGGACGGGUGAGUAACGCGUGGGUAACCUGCCGUAUACAGGGGGAUAACAACCAGAAAUGGUUGCUAAUACCGCAUAAGCGCACAGGACCGCAUGGUCCGGUUUGAAAAACUCCGGUGGGAUAAGAUGGACCCGCGUUGGAUUAGCUAGUUGGCAGGGUGACGGCCUACCAAGGCGACGGGCCACAGCCGGCAUGAGAGGGUGAGCGGACACAUCGACACUGAGACACGGCCCAGACUCUUACGGGAGGGAGCAGUGGCGAAUCUUGCACUAUGGGGGAAACCCUGAUGCAGCGACGCCGCGUGAAGGAAGAAGUAUCUCGGUAUGUAAACUUCGAUCAGCAGGGACGAUAGUGACGGUACCUGACUAAGAAGCCCCGGCUAACUACGUG
Molecule: ribosomal RNA, 478 nt
Filed under: uncultured bacterium
Lineage: Bacteria
Description: partial 16S ribosomal RNA
Rfam family: Bacterial small subunit ribosomal RNA
Source: RNAcentral